Molecule: unclassified non-coding RNA, 437 nt
Filed under: uncultured Thelephoraceae
Lineage: Eukaryota; Fungi; Basidiomycota; Agaricomycetes; Thelephorales; Thelephoraceae
Description: sequence contains ITS2
Rfam family: 5.8S ribosomal RNA (bases 1-155)
Source: RNAcentral
AACUGUUAGCAAUGGAUCUCUUGGCUCUCGCAUCGAUGAAGAACGCAGCGAAAUGCGAUAAGUAAUGUGAAUUGCAGAAUUCAGUGAAUCAUCGAAUCUUUGAACGCACCUUGCGCCCUUUGGCUAUUCCGAAGGGCAUGCCUGUUUGAGUAUCAUGAACACCUCAACCCUCACGGUUCCUCGUGAUGGGCUUGGACUUGGGGGCUUUGUUGGCCUGUGGUCAGCUCUCCUCAAAUAAAUCAGCUCGCCAGUGUCUGGCGGCAUCAUGGGUGUGAUAACCAUCUACGCUUGUGAUCGCCUGCGAGGUAAACCUCUGGUCUGCAGAGGUUCGCUGGAGCUUAUAGAUGUCUCUCCUCUGUGAAGACAGCUUUCUGAAGUUCGAUCUCAAAUCAGGUAGGACUACCCGCUGAACUUAAGCAUAUCAAUAAGCGGAGGCU